GACGAACGCUGGCGGCGUGCUUAACACAUGCAAGUCGAACGGAAAGGCCCUUCGGGGUACUCGAGUGGCGAACGGGUGAGUAACACGUGGGUGAUCUGCCCUGCACUUUGGGAUAAGCCUGGGAAACUGGGUCUAAUACCGAAUAGGACCACGCGCUUCAUGGUGUGUGGUGGAAAGCUUUUGCGGUGUGGGAUGGGCCCGCGGCCUAUCAGCUUGUUGGUGGGGUAAUGGCCUACCAAGGCGACGACGGGUAGCCGGCCUGAGAGGGUGACCGGCCACACUGGGACUGAGAUACGGCCCAGACUCCUACGGGAGGCAGCAGUGGGGAAUAUUGCACAAUGGGCGCAAGCCUGAUGCAGCGACGCCGCGUGAGGGAUGACGGCCUUCGGGUUGUAAACCUCUUUCAAUAGGGACGAAGCGCAAGUGACGGUACCUAUAGAAGAAGAACCGGCCAACUACGUG
RNAcentral lists this ribosomal RNA (462 nucleotides) under uncultured bacterium. Its description in RNAcentral is "partial 16S ribosomal RNA". It matches the Rfam family "Bacterial small subunit ribosomal RNA", at positions 28 to 507 of the family's 1533-position model. The record is from RNAcentral.